AACGCACAUUGCGCCCUCUGGUAUUCCGGGGGGCAUGCCUAUUCGAGCUUCAUUAUACCCAUCAAGCUCUGCUUGGCCUUGGGCGCCGCCGUCAGGGCGCGCCUCAAAAUCAGUGGCGGUGUCCCGCAGCUUCAAGCGUAGUAAUUCUUCUCGCUAUGGACGCUGGGGGCGCGCUGGCCAGCAACACCAUAAUUUUUCUUGGUUGAACUCGGAUUAGGUAGGGAUACCCGCUGAACUUAA
Molecule: unclassified non-coding RNA, 240 nt
Filed under: Mucor sp.
Lineage: Eukaryota; Fungi; Mucoromycota; Mucoromycetes; Mucorales; Mucoraceae
Description: partial contains 5.8S ribosomal RNA, internal transcribed spacer 2, and large subunit ribosomal RNA
Source: RNAcentral